This 476-nucleotide ribosomal RNA is filed under the name uncultured bacterium. RNAcentral's name for it is "partial 16S ribosomal RNA". It matches the Rfam family "Bacterial small subunit ribosomal RNA", at positions 35 to 539 of the family's 1533-position model. The record is from RNAcentral.
AGCGAACGCUGGCGGCAUGCUUAACACAUGCAAGUCGCGCGGGUGGUUUCGGCCAUCCGCGGCGGACGGGUGAGUAUCGCGUAGGAAUGUAUCCCGAGGUGGGGGACAACCCUGGGAAACUGGGGCUAAUACCGCAUGGGGCCUGUGGGUCAAAGCCUUAGGUCGCCUUGGGAGCAGCCUGCGUCCGAUUAGGUAGUUGGUGGGGUAAAGGCCUACCAAGCCUGCGAUCGGUAGCUGGUCUGAGAGGACGAUCAGCCACACUGGGACUGAGACACGGCCCAGACGCCGCGGGGGGGGAGCAGGUGGGACUAGGGGAAAGGGAGCGCAGGCGGGAUCCAGCGUGGGCGCGUGGGUAAAGAGGGGGCUGUGAUGGUAAACCCCUGGGGGGGGGGAGGGUGAGGACGGAACCGGCAGAAGCAGCCAGGGCUAAGUUGGUGCCAGCAGCCGAGGAAGGAUAGAAGAGCACCCGUCUGACC